Molecule: long non-coding RNA, 2975 nt
Organism: Triticum dicoccoides
Lineage: Eukaryota; Viridiplantae; Streptophyta; Magnoliopsida; Poales; Poaceae
Exons: 2
Source: RefSeq, a predicted model, not a curated record
CCCAGCCCCCGCGCCUCUCUCGCGCACUCCGCUGAUGGCGGAGAGACGGGCUUCGCCCCAGCCGCCGGCGACGGCGGCGGAUGCCACCGCGCCGCGCGGGCCUCUCCUUCCAUCCUUUCCACCUACUACGGCAGGGAGAACGAGGCCCAGCUGCUCCCGCUCUUUUCCCCUGCGCCGUCUCUGUCCCGCAGCAAGGUUUCGGGCCUCGCCGGCCGCCGGCGACGGCGACGAACCGCCGUGACGCGCAAGCCCCUUUCCUUUCCCCACUUCUGUUUCCUUCCUCCCUCUAUCCACCGAAACCAGUGAGAGAGAGAGAGAGAGAGAGAGAGAGAGAGAGAGAGAGAGAGAGAGAGAGAGAGAGAUCAGAGACGCCAACAGAGCCCUGCUCUUCUCCUAUGUGCAUGCGAUACAGCGGAGCCUCCCCCGUCCCUCUUGCCGGUGCGCGCGAGCUCCAGAAGGAGAGCGCGCCGCCGUCAAGCAGUGCGGUGGUGGUGCCCUUUUGCCCCCUUGGAGAGGCUGUGUGGGGAUCGAGAGGAACGGCGCGGCCGGACUGGCGACGCACUUUGCCGCCGAGGCCCGAGGCCAUCUGCCAGUAAAUUUUUCUUUGCCCUCUGAUUAGGGUUCUUGGGGAGGGGAUCUCUUUUUCUUUUUCUGUUUUUUCUUCUUCUUUGUACCAAAAUCAACUAGCCCGAUCUGGCUAUCUGAUACCAUUGAUAGACCUUGGAUCGGAGUAGGCUAGUAGAUCCGGUGAACCUACCUUCUCCAGGUGCGGAUGAGCUCGAUCCAGUGCCGGCCAUGGUGGUGUGGUUACGGCGGUGAUGCGGACAGAGAUGGCGGCGAUGGAGGAGCUUCCCGUCGGCCUAGCGCAACCCUAGAUCGGAUUGGUGUGUCGGUGGUGUUGUGGUGCACGGUCAACCUCAUGAUGCGUGCCCCGGCACCCCACCUCUUUAUAUUGCGCUGGCGACAGGGCCCGCCAACCAUAGUUUGGUUGGGCGCCCCCGAUCAGGGCGCGAGUCAGGGCCCGUUCGACCCGUUGGGUUCGAACGGGAUAGAGAUCAACCUAACAUGGGCCACUGGGUUUAUGGUUGGCAAUGUUUCAUUAUAUAGCAACCAAUAACUAGCAGCCCUUGUUAUACGCGUUCAUCGAGCAUGUACAGUCUAACAUCAUUCUGAUCAUUUAGCAUUUGAUAUUCUAAAUCGAUAUGUUGGAUGGCUUGCAGGUAGCCCUCUCUGCUGCCUCUUGAGCCCCAUGGACAUUCUUCCUGAAGGUAAUCACAGCAACAUCUUAUAUACACGAAGUUUAGGUUCAGUUCAGGGUAGUUGUGUGUGGUUAGUAAGCUAUCCAACUCCAAAAUUUUAAUCUAGCCAUUAAUCUUCAUAUAGAGAGUUGGUAUGGAAGUGGAACUUAGACACAUAGUCUGAUAAGGGGAGUCUGUAUCAUCUUUUAAUUCAGGCGAUGAACUGCAGAACGUAGCAUACAAUUUGUAGAAACUAGAAGCUCAACUUCUCAGUGUAAAGACUAGGAAGAAGUUUACGUAAACUAAAUUAAAACUUCAUUCACGGUUUUACAAAGAAGUUAAAGCAGUUUCCACUUUCUCAUGUCACGAUCCACUAAAAGACUUUAAACUUAGUUAUGUUACUCUCAUGGUCAGUUUCAUUUCAAGCUGUAAUAGAUACAUAUACUCCUGCUGUUUGCAUUGUCAGAUUUUAUAAAUUUAAUUUCACUUUUCUAUCUCCAUUAGUACUUCACUAGCUUGUAUGGCCACAUAGCUGAGAUGGUUACCCAUUCAGUUGGUCCCAUUUGGUUCUCAUUGUUUUUCAGUUGCUCUACUAGCUGAUACAUGCAUCUAUGGGGAUAUUCUUCUGUACCUGUUCAAAUGAUAUGCAGGUUUGAGCUUUUGUCAUGCCUAAACCGUUUCAACCAUAUAAGAUCCAGAAAAAAAACGUCAAUCCUUUUUUGUUUUCUUAUUCCUUGAGAUGUAUCACUUUACGCACACGCUAUUGUUUACUGAAAAUCUCCCCUGACAUAAAUCCUUAUCUCACACUUGAACAUUUUAGCGUUUUGAAUAAUUAUCCAUGUUAUUAUCAACCUGCUGCUGAGACUAGAAUUGAUCAAUGCCCAAGCAAAACUGUGUCACAAACGUUUGUAUCAAUUAGUCACCACCUUGUUUGAUUUUUUUUAGCUGAGGAUUCACUUGGAUAUCUUGACAGAGCAAAAUACCAUGUCGAAAUAGCAGAAAAAAUGUUGAUUGGUCCACGGAUACAGCCAGACCAACACUAACUGGGCUAACCAACAGCUAGGCCCGUGUGCACAAAUUAGUCAUCAUUUUCAAUACGUAAGGCUUUUGUUAUGGACAGUGGCUUUCUCAAGGUACAUCGCUCACUGCUCGAAGGUGCUUCGCUGUCUGGCGUGAUCUGGCUAUGGCCAAAACCAAGCUCAAGUAGCUGAGGUCCUUGUUCUAUAACUUCUGCUAUGGGUGCCCCAUUGCGUGUGACAAUGAAGAGCUUCAAUGGUUCUGCGAAAAAAUUAUUGCGGUGCUCCUCGCUGUUGAUAAGCUUGAGGUGAUUUCUGUCAUGACCUAUGACCUACUAUUUGUCAUUGCCAUUGCACGAUUUUGAGUUCGAACUUCAACUUCAGUUUGUUAUAUUCUGUGUUGUUGGUCGUAGUGUAUCAUCAGGUUGGUUUAGCACACAAGUAGAUGGCAAAGAUGAUCUAUGUAGGUUUACACAGAAUGAACAUUCUACUACUCCCUCUGUUCCUAAAUAUUUGUCUUUUUAGGAUUUCAAAUGGACUACCACAUACGGAUGUAUAUAGACACAUUUUAGAGUGUAGACUCACUCAUUUUGCUUCGUAUGUAGUCACUUGUUGAAAUCUUUAGAAAGACAAAUAUUUAGGAACGGAGGGACUAGUAGUCUACUGUUACUAUAAUAAUCCUUUUGCUUGUAUGUCCAUCUUAAGAGAAAUUGUUGUAACA